CCUACGGGAGGCAGCAGUGAGGAAUAUUGGUCAAUGGCCGAUAGGCUGAACCAGCCAAGUCGCGUGAAGGAUGACUGCCCUGAGGGUUGUAGACUUCUUUUAUCGGGGAAUAAAAGGCAGGACGGGUCCGGUUUUGCGUGUACCCUGUGAAAAAGGAUCGGCUAACUCCGUGCCAGCAGCCGCGGUAAUACGGAGGAUGCGAGCGUUAUCCGGAUUCAUUGGGUUUAAAGGGUGCGUAGGCGGGCCUUUAAGCCGGCGGUGAAAUCGCGGGGCUCAACCCCGGCCUGCCGGCGGAACUGGGGGCCUUGAGUGCGGCGGAGGUAUGCGGAAUGCGUGGUGUAGCGGUGAAAUGCAUAGAUAUCGCGCAGAACCCCGAUUGCGAAGGCAGCGUGCCGGGCCGCCACUGACGCUGAGGCACGAAAGUGCGGGGAUCGAACAGGAUUAGAUACCCUAGUAGUC
Molecule: ribosomal RNA, 459 nt
Filed under: uncultured bacterium
Lineage: Bacteria
Description: partial 16S ribosomal RNA
Rfam family: Bacterial small subunit ribosomal RNA
Source: RNAcentral